UACGUAGGGGGCAAGCGUUACUCGGAAUUACUGGGCGUAAAGGGUGAGUAGGCGGCUGAGCAAGUCAAGGAUGAAAGCCCGAGGCUCAACUUCGGAAUUGUCCUUGAAACUGCUCAGCUUGAGGGUAGUUGAGGAGAGUGGAAUUCCCGGUGGAGCGGUGAAAUGCGUAGAUAUCGGGAGGAACACCUGAGGCGAAGGCGGCUCUCUAAGCUAUUCCUGACGCUGAAUCAAGAAAGCGAGGGGAGCAAACGGG
RNAcentral lists this ribosomal RNA (253 nucleotides) under uncultured bacterium. RNAcentral's name for it is "partial 16S ribosomal RNA". It matches the Rfam family "Bacterial small subunit ribosomal RNA", at positions 524 to 776 of the family's 1533-position model. The record is from RNAcentral.